GCAUAUCAAUAAGCGGAGGAAAAGAAACUAACAAGGAUUCCCCUAGUAACUGCGAGUGAAGCGGGAUGAGCUCAAAUUUAAAAUCUGGCGUCUCUGGCGCCCGAGUUGUAACCUAUAGAAGCGUUUUCGGCCGCCGGAUGUGGACAAGUCCCUUGGAACAGGGCGUCAUAGAGGGUGAGAGUCCCGUGCUUGCCACAACACCGUUGUGUCCAUGUGAUGCGCUUUCAAAGAGUCGAGUUGUUUGGGAAUGCAGCUCUAAAUGGGACGUAUGUUCGUUCUAAGGCUAAAUAUCAACGAGAGACCGAUAGCGAACAAGUACCGUGAGGGAAAGAUGAAAAGCACUUUGAAAAGAGAGUUAAACAGUACGUGAAAUUGCUAAAAGGGAAGCGCUUGAAGUCAGUCGCGUCUUUGGGGAUUCAGCCUUGACCGGUGCAUUUCCUCCUUGACGGGCCAACAUCGAUUUCUGUCGCGGGAAAAGGGCACGAGGAAUGUGGCAGCUCCGGCUGUGUUAUAGCCUCGCGUCGCACGCCGCGGUGGGGAUCGAGGACCGCAGCUUCGGCUUAGGAUGUUGGCGUAAUGGCUUUAAGCGACCCGUCUUGAAACACGGACC
This 610-nucleotide ribosomal RNA is filed under the name uncultured Dacrymycetes. RNAcentral's name for it is "eukaryotic LSU rRNA". It matches the Rfam family "Eukaryotic large subunit ribosomal RNA", at positions 38 to 667 of the family's 3401-position model. The record is from RNAcentral. Lineage: Eukaryota; Fungi; Basidiomycota; Dacrymycetes.